This 233-nucleotide ribosomal RNA is filed under the name uncultured Neisseriales bacterium. RNAcentral describes it as "partial 16S ribosomal RNA". It matches the Rfam family "Bacterial small subunit ribosomal RNA", at positions 97 to 334 of the family's 1533-position model. Lineage: Bacteria; Pseudomonadati; Pseudomonadota; Betaproteobacteria; Neisseriales. The record is from RNAcentral.
GGCGAACGGGUGAGUAAUAUAUCGGAACGUACCGAGUAAUGGGGAUAACUAAUCGAAAGAUUAGCUAAUACCGCAUAUUCUCUGAGGAGGAAAGCAGGGGACCUUCGGGCCUUGCGUUAUUCGAGCGGCCGAUAUCUGAUUAGCUAGUUGGUGGGGUAAAGGCCUACCAAGGCGACGAUCAGUAGCGGGUCUGAGAGGAUGAUCCGCCACACUGGGACUGAGACACGGCCCAG